UUGAACUCAAUUCUCCUCUGGAUGCUUCACAAUCACAACAGGACACUUAACGUGCUUAGCACAAUAAUCACUCACGCUUCCUAAGAGAGCCCUGUAAAAUUUGGAAAAGAAUUAAAUCUCCAAACAAUCGGCUUGGCUGUGAAUUAGGCAAAAAUUGAAAGGAUAAAGCAGCUAGUAUCAAUUGCUUGUACCUCUUGAUGAAACCAUAACCGUGGCUUCCCAUCACCAAAGUGUCAGCUUCCAGUUUCUCCACAGUACCACAUAUUACAUCCUUGGCAUCGCCACAUCCCACUACUCUCUUUACAUGUAUCUGUAAAAAGGAAAAAAAAAAAAAUCAUCCGUAACAAACUGAGAAAAGGAAACAAAAAAAUCAUCCGUAACAAACUGAGAAAAGGAAACAAUACAGGGGUGUUGAUGAUAAAUAAGCAGAGGCUUACAUUGUUUUGGAAGUUCCUGUACACAGCCUCAGCUCGAUUCAUCACCGAAUUCACGGACUCACUAGCGUAUUUCUCGACGGCCUUGAUGACAUCAUUUGAGAAUAUAUAUCCUGCGAGAUGAAGGGUGUUUAGUUGAAUGGGAUGUCAUCAUGACUCAUGAACAAAUAAUAUCUAAUAAAAUAAAACAGCAGUAAAACAUAGAAAGGUCCAAGGUCUGGAGAGGACAAAUACUACGGAGAAAGUGGCAGUUCUGACCUGCGGCAUCAAAGGAGGAGUGGACCGGUAGAGGAGGUUUAACGUAGAGGAGGACAAGGGUGUUGUUGGUAUCAGGAGAAAAUAGGUUGUUGAGACACCAUGAAAGUGCAUGC
RNAcentral lists this long non-coding RNA (805 nucleotides) under Citrus sinensis (sweet orange). RNAcentral describes it as "long non-coding RNA (CSIN_LNC004438)". Lineage: Eukaryota; Viridiplantae; Streptophyta; Magnoliopsida; Sapindales; Rutaceae. The record is from RNAcentral.